This 253-nucleotide ribosomal RNA is filed under the name uncultured bacterium. RNAcentral describes it as "partial 16S ribosomal RNA". It matches the Rfam family "Bacterial small subunit ribosomal RNA", at positions 524 to 776 of the family's 1533-position model. The record is from RNAcentral.
UACGUAGGGAGCAAGCGUUGUCCGGAAUUACUGGGUGUAAAGGGAGUGUAGGCGGGAUGGUAAGUUAGGUGUGAAAUCUAUGGGCUCAACCCAUAAAUUGCACUUAAAACUGCUGUUCUUGAGUGAAGUAGAGGUUAGCGGAAUUCCUAGUGUAGCGGUGAAAUGCGUAGAUAUUAGGAGGAACAUCAGUGGCGAAGGCGGCUAACUGGGCUUUUACUGACGCUGAGGCUCGAAAGCGUGGGGAGCAAACAGG